GUCCCCUUCGUCUAGAGGCCUAGGACACCGCCCUUCACGGCGGUAACAGGGGUUCGAAUCCCCUAGGGGACGCCA
This 75-nucleotide transfer RNA is filed under the name Alteromonas mediterranea UM7. Its description in RNAcentral is "tRNA-Und (NNN) (tRNA-Und-NNN-2-1)". It matches the Rfam family "tRNA". Rfam says of the family: Transfer RNA (tRNA) molecules are approximately 80 nucleotides in length. Their secondary structure includes four short double-helical elements and three loops (D, anti-codon, and T loops). The record is from RNAcentral. Lineage: Bacteria; Pseudomonadati; Pseudomonadota; Gammaproteobacteria; Alteromonadales; Alteromonadaceae.